This 265-nucleotide long non-coding RNA is filed under the name Homo sapiens (human). RNAcentral describes it as "HSALNT0309609". The record is from RNAcentral. Lineage: Eukaryota; Metazoa; Chordata; Mammalia; Primates; Hominidae.
GGGAUUUUGCCAUGUUGACCACGGUGGUCUUGAACUCCCGACCUCAGAAUUCUCCAAAGCCUGAAGUCAUCCAAAGGCCAAAUAAGAUUGCAUGCCAGGAGUGAUAUCUGAAAGUAGAAAAUAGAACCUUUGGUGUUCCAGUCAAAAUGAAGGGAAGAUGAGAAGGUGUUCAAGAGAUGACAUUGCAUAGUGUCACAGAGAGGACUGAAUUGAGAGUUGGGGGGUCUGGGCUGAGCACCUCUGCCUGGACCCCAGGGGAAGCACA